This 228-nucleotide non-coding RNA is filed under the name Pseudomonas sp. JV241A. The record is from RNAcentral. Lineage: Bacteria; Pseudomonadati; Pseudomonadota; Gammaproteobacteria; Pseudomonadales; Pseudomonadaceae.
GCUAACGCCAUUCGUUUGGGUGCCCCUUGAGGGUGAAACUGGGAAACCGGUGCGUCAUACACUCCUUUAUUAGGUGUACGACAAGUCCGGUGCUGCCCCCGCAACGGUAAGUGAGAAAAGCGUCAGAACCACUGUGCCCGCUGCCUGGCAUGGGAAGGUGACGCCUGUGGUGUGGCCAGCUGCCAACCCUCACCAGCCCGGAGACCGGCCCGACGCUUGACCGAACAA